CCCUCCCCCAGCCUCGCUGCCGCCUUGCAGUUUGAUCUCAGACUGCUGUGCUAUCAAUCAGUGAGACUCCGUGGGCGUAGGACCCUCCAAGCCAGGUGCCGGAUAUAAUCUCGUGGUGCGCCGUUUUUUAAGCCCGUCGGAAAAGCGCAGUAUUCGGGUGGAAGUGGCCCGAUUUUCCAGGUGCGUCCGUCACCCCUUUCUUUGACUCGGAAAGGGAACUCCCUGACCCCUUGCGCUUCCCAAGUGAGGCAAUGCGUCACCCUGCUUCGGCUCGCGCACGGUGCGUGCACCCACUGACCUGCGACCACUGUCUGGCACUCCCUAGUGAGAUGAACCCUGUACCUCAGAUGGAAAUGCAGAAAUCACCCGUCUUCUGCGUCGCUCAUGCUGGGAGCUGUAGACUGGAGCUGUUCCUAUUCGGCCAUCUUGGCUCUUCCCCCGUUUUACAAUUUAAAGGUAAAGACCUUCACAAUCGGGAACCCGUAGAUUGGAUCUUCUGAAAACAUCAGAGAAAGACUAUCUUUGCCAUCCACACUACAGUAAAACUUUGGAGCCUUGAACCUUGGAUUUAUAAUCUCACAACUGAGAAGGGUCCCUCCAUACUCCUGGAACUGUACACCCAUUGGAACUCUUAAGGAUGAUAUACAUGGCCAGGUGAAGACAGUAGAGAGAAAACAGAACUGAAAACUCCACACUCUUAAAAGGAGAGAGAAGCAAAGAAGGACAGUCAAUCAAUGCCAGCAUUGGUCAUUUUCUGCACCUUGUGAGGACUGACCAGGAUGAUAUAUGCACAUUUUUUUAUUUCAGUCAUCUUCCACCUGCCCAAGGAGGCAUUUUAUCUAGUA
This 845-nucleotide long non-coding RNA is filed under the name Homo sapiens (human). RNAcentral describes it as "HSALNT0194061". Lineage: Eukaryota; Metazoa; Chordata; Mammalia; Primates; Hominidae. The record is from RNAcentral.